CUCCAUUGCAUGCUUCCUCACGUUCCUUUGGAUUACGUUGUCCAUCUAACCUCCUCAACUAGGAAGAAUGAAUAAUAAAGAAACGAAGACUUCAGAACACAAUGAGAGAGAGAGAGAAGAGAGAAGCAUAUGACGAUGAUGAUGAUGGUGAUGAAGCCUGCACUGACUCUUCUUCUUGUUCAUCUUCCUCCUCUUUUUCCUCGUAUUAAUCCUGUAUAUAUAGUUAGAGACAGUCAGAAACCUAUCCUGAUCGCUCUCUUUUCAGUGCGGAAGCUAACUUUCAGAAGUAGGUUCUUGCCCCCAAGGAACGACAAGCUGAUUUUGGUCUCAGACGAAAUAUGAUGAGGUUUCUCCGGACAGGACAGAACCACUUCCAGGCUCCUCUUUAAUCUCUCAUGGAACUCGUCCAGGUUUUCAGCCUGUAGCGAAGAAGAAGAAGAAAAAUCGACAAGAAAGUGCAGAACCCAACAGAGUGGAAGAGAACGUAUUACCUCAAGAAAAUAUCGGAAUGAGAGCAUUACCAUGUCUACGAGAUGAAUGAUUCCGCCAUUGAUGGCACAAAAUCUGCUCUUUCAGUCUGCAAAUCUGAAGGGAAAUUAGGUUUUCUUUCUCCCAUUAAAAGCAAGAAGUGAAAAAAAAAGUUAGUUCACUUUACGUGACAGGACAUCCUCGUUCAGGCAAACAGUUGUGAUACAGAAAUCUAAAUUCUGGUUCUUUUUCAUGGCGAGGAGAUUAAGAACAAAACCAUGGAAGCGGCACCCGAGGCUUUUUCUGCCAAUGCUCUGCCUCAAUAUCGUAUUUCAAGACCCGAUAGCACUCGAGCAUAAGGGGAAGUUUGUAUAUCGCAAUGUACGGGACAAAAGAUUCAAGGGUAUUUACCGGAGAGGACCUGUGAAUCAUUUUUGAUGUUUGAUAUUCGGAGAAUAUGCACUUUGUGCGAGUAGUUUCAACCCGCAACGAUUGAGUGCCAGACAAAGAUCGUUUCUUUUUAAGAAAGAAAUCGUUCAAACACCACGAGGAACGUCGUAAAACCCAGUUGCGGGAUUCGGACAAUCUCUUGGAGCAAGCGCGAAUGCAGUAAAGCCACACAUCUGGUCGUGGUCUUACCACAGAUGAUCGCCGAAAAUGAUCUCAGCAGCACAAAAACAGUGAAAUCUCUUAACUAGGAACAUGGCGUAAUUUCGGGGGACAAAACCUACGUGAUUGGUCGUCCUGUGACAAGGGCGGAAACGAAUUCGGACAUAGAAAACCAACGUGGAAUCCAAAACAUGAAACGGUAGAUAGAACUCGUUGGAUUGGACACAGAUUGUCUGUUUGAUAUGAGAAGACAAAUUGCUGCUUUGUGUGUGUUUGUGUUUGUUUCCCCUUCAUUUGUUCUCGUCAUUCGCUCUCCACUCAACUAAUCUCUUCCAUCAUCCCUUACGAACAAAAAAAGAUGCACACUAACAAGAUCAAGAAGAUUCUAAAAAAAAA
Molecule: long non-coding RNA, 1473 nt
Organism: Tarenaya hassleriana
Lineage: Eukaryota; Viridiplantae; Streptophyta; Magnoliopsida; Brassicales; Cleomaceae
Exons: 2
Source: RefSeq, a predicted model, not a curated record